RNAcentral lists this transfer RNA (105 nucleotides) under Crassvirales sp. RNAcentral's name for it is "tRNA-Val". It matches the Rfam family "tRNA". Rfam says of the family: Transfer RNA (tRNA) molecules are approximately 80 nucleotides in length. The record is from RNAcentral. Lineage: Duplodnaviria; Heunggongvirae; Uroviricota; Caudoviricetes; Crassvirales.
UUAAAUAUGGCGGAAUUGGUAUACGGCAGCAGAUUGACGGAAGCGCCUCUAAAGUCGUCAUUAAAUAUCUCUUGAGGAUUAAAGGUUCGAAUCCCUUUAUUUAAG